This 432-nucleotide ribosomal RNA is filed under the name uncultured bacterium. Its description in RNAcentral is "partial 16S ribosomal RNA". It matches the Rfam family "Bacterial small subunit ribosomal RNA", at positions 29 to 507 of the family's 1533-position model. The record is from RNAcentral.
ACGCACGCUGGCGGCAUGCCUAACACAUGCAAGUCGAACGAGACCUUCGGGUCUAGUGGCGCACGGGUGCGUAACGCGUGGGAACCUGCCCUUAGGUUCGGAAUAACUCCCCGAAGGGGGUGCUAAUACCGGAUAAUGUCUUCGGACCAAAGAUUUAUCGCCUUUGGAUGGGCCCGCGUUGGAUUAGCUAGUUGGUAGGGUAAAAGCCUACCAAGGCGACGAUCCAUAGCUGGUCUGAGAGGAUGAUCAGCCACACUGGGACUGAGACACGGCCCAGACUCCUACGGGAGGCAGCAGUGGGGAAUAUUGGACAAUGGGCGAAAGCCUGAUCCAGCAAUGCCGCGUGAGUGAUGAAGGCCUUAGGGUUGUAAAGCUCUUUUACCCGGGAUGAUAAUGACAGUACCGGGAGAAUAAGCUCCGGCUAACUCCGUG